Molecule: ribosomal RNA, 554 nt
Filed under: Probreviceps macrodactylus (Usambara big-fingered frog)
Lineage: Eukaryota; Metazoa; Chordata; Amphibia; Anura; Brevicipitidae
Description: partial 16S ribosomal RNA
Rfam family: Bacterial large subunit ribosomal RNA
Source: RNAcentral
UGGGAGGUCCAGCCUGCCCAAUGAUACAUUGAAUGGCCGCGGUACUCUUACCGUGCGAAGGUAGCAUAAUCACUUGUUCAUUAAAUAUGGACUAGUAUGAACGGCAUCACGAGGGUCAUACUGUCUCCCUACUCCAAUCAAUGAAACUAUUUUUCCCGUGAAGAAACGGGAAUUAAACUAUAAGACGAGAAGACCCCAUGGAGCUUUAAACCCAGAACAUCUACCACCCACCCCAUUUUUACCUAACUAUAGUAUUCAUGUUUUCUGGUUUUUGGUUGGGGCGACCACGGAGCAAAAAAAAUCCUCCACGAUGAACAAGCUUUACUUUUACCCAUGAAGCACACUUCUAAGGACCCUUAAUAUGACAUUUCUUGACCCAAGCCUACUUGAUCAACGAACCUAGUUACCCUGGGGAUAACAGCGCAAUCCAUUUCAAGAGCCCAUAUCGACAAAUGGGUUUACGACCUCGAUGUUGGAUCAGGGUAUCCCAGUGGUGCACCCGCUACUAAAGGUUUGUUUGUUCAACAAUUAAUAACCCUACGUGAUCUGAGUUC